AUAUUGCCCAUCUAACUCCCUGUGUUAACGCUGGGUUCCUGAACUCUACAGGAGGCCUAACAAGAAUGGAAUGUUUGGUCUAUAUAACUCCAGGAGAUGAGGGGUCAUCUGAUUUUCUUUGUUUUAUAAAAACCUGCCCAGCCUCAAAGUAACCUAGGCAGAGCGCUUCGGCCACGAGGGGAAGGAUUGAUAAGGUGUUGCAAUCUGCAGGCUUUUAAUAAAGCUAAAAAGAGAUUACAAAUGAAAGUUUUACAUAUAAUGACACUACUUGAUGAGUAAAAUUUUCAAACCGUUUUAAUCCCUUGUAAUCUAGGCUUAUUUUUCUAAGAUAAUGCUUUUGAAGAUGGCUUGUGUAUGACUUUGAUUUGACAUUCCAAUAAUGAUAUUUAUCAACAAGGGUGGAUUGAAGCAAAUGCUACCACAAAAUUAGAGAUCGCCAUAAAUAAAGAUUAAGAGUUGUGAAUUGUAAGCAUUUGAAAUCUAGUAUAUUGUAAAACGUCUGAAGCUUUAAGAAAAAAACUUGUUUUGACCAGAUUACAAGUGAAAAUUCUUUGUCAAAUUUUUUAGAGCAAUGGGGCACCUUUUUUACAUAGAAGAAGAAAUGAAAGAGAAAGUCAUUAAUCCAAUCAUGACAUUGCAUGCUUCAUCUACAGCAAGAACGUUAUGUCUUCUUUCCUCGUUUCUUGCCAGAGCAUGGUAACGAUGCCUGACGGUAUGUUGCCUUGUGCAAGCAUCAUCGUUGUGCAUACGUUUCAAAAAAGGAAACUAAUGAAGGCAACAAAUCUAAGAGAUUUAACAGAAUAAAUGGAUGAAUACAUUAGGACUGCAUUAAUUGUUGUAAAAGGAGACAGAUCGCAGAAGAUUCUCUGUAAAGCGCCAAACAAUUUGUCGUUUUGAUAGCGUAGCAUAAAAUUAAGUAAGAAAGGACAAAGAAUAGAAGAUUGUAUGAUAACAUGACAUACCAUGACAUAGCACUGCGUCAGAUUGAUGACACAGAACUUAUAAUGCAUUUUAUUAGAACCUUCAAUAAAGCUCGCUAGUUUUGUAAGCAAACCCAUGGAAAACCUGCAUUUAUCUGCAUUUAUUUGCCUUUAUCCACUUAGUGCUAUCGUCACCAGUCUAUGAAUAGGCCUUUCCAAUGCUGGUUGGUACAAUGCACCUCAAGGUCCUAUCAAUUUGACCCAGAAACUGCAAAUUAAUAGCAAAUGACGGUGAAACGUUUGUAAGACAGGUGGCUUGCAAUGGUUGCAAUUUAAACUGUUUCUGAAGUAACAACAAUGACGAGUAAUAGCACUGUUGACUUAGCUUUGUUGUUUGGGAAUAAUCCGUUUAGUAGCGCACCAUAUUUCCCACGUGUGGUGCCGAGGUCAGACUAGAAGGCAACAGAAAGUCGUUUAGUUUUGCAUAUGCAAGGUUUGGAUAAAGCAGGAUUUGAAAAGCCAUUGCAGCCCUAGGAUAACAAAAAUUCAUGGCCAUCUCUAUCUGUAAUUUCCUAACUCAUAGUUAAGAAAACACAUCCCUCAUUUUUAAAAACGGAAACGAUGUUUUUUUCUUUUUCAUGGAACCACACAGAGAAGAAUUCUUGCCAUCAAUAAUUCUUGAUUCUUGUGGUAUUAAAGAUAUCUUGAGUCACAUGGUUUUCUAUAAUGCUGCCAAAGUUUUUUAAAUGAAGACUUUCUUAUCAAUGUGCGAUGUUGAAAAUUCUUUUUCAUUUCAAAAGCACAUGGCAUCACAGCAGUAAUAUCUAUUUUUGAUUUUAAGAGAACCUUUUACAAGACUAAGCAUGCAAAGUUGCAAAAGUUAUAGCUGCUUCAUGUUGUAGAAAUCUUUCAUUAAAUGUUUAAGAUAAAAAGCACUGUGAAAGAGUUGAAAUAUGUUCAAUUGCAGGCAAUGCCGUGUGUUGUUGAACAAGGAUUGACUUUAGCUCCUCCUCUUGAUCGUCAAUAGGCAAGAUUCAGUUUAUAUUUUUGCAUAAAUUUCUCGAUUGCAUUUUGGUUUUAAAGCAGACUUUCUCCUUUCAAUUCUAUAGCAUGCUGUAAAACUUAGUCUGAUUCUUAAAAUUCUUUUCAUGAAGGUGAUCUCUGCAUGAAAUUUCAUCUGCAAAGUUAAUUUGUCAGACAUCAAGAAUAACGAAUUAUUUUUGAAAAAGUAACUUCCAGGCAAUUUUGUCAUUUUAAUUGUUACACCAUUCCAUUAUGAAUGCAUGGAAUACCAUAAAGUUAUGCAGCUUGCAGAUUCGUUCUCAUAUGCCAGCUUCAUCAGAAUCUGUGAAAAAUGAGAUGCUUUCUCAUCUCAAGAUCCCACAGUUCUAUAAUAUAGUUUGCAAAUAAUAUUUAUCAUUUUGAGAACUGUUUACUGAACGCUUAUGCCUACCAUAUUUCACUGAAACUAUUUCAUUGAAAAGUUAAUGCUAUCUUCAUGCUUGUGCCUUUCCCUUUUUAAAUGGGUCUCCCCACAGCAAUUCCAACAUAAGAGGGAAAGGACUCGCUCCCUAUAGUUUCUAGAAAUACCCCCCGCUCUACGUUAUCCAUUAUACGUCUUUCUAAUUCAUCACAUCAUUUACUUUUUGCAAAAAUUGCAAAUCUAGAAUAUUGAAUUAAAUUAUAUAAAGAAAUUAAACCAGAGGUGAACCAAGAUAGUUCCAAGGAUCAAGACCACCGUACUGUUCAAUAAGAUAUAUAAAUGUGUUGAUUUGUAUCCAAACAUUUUUUCAUUUUGUGGUCCCUCAAUCUAUGUCUCCAUUUUGCAGGUAAAGGCGUUGCUGUGAAAAACUAAGUUUAAAAAGCAACAGCCACAGCAUUCAUUCAAAGGUGUGCUCAUCCUCCAGCAUUGAAUGCAAGCAUAUUUCAUCAUGCUGCCUCGCUUAAAGAUAAGAGAGCUAAAGGGCUGGAAAUCUCACGAGUUUGUUAUCGUAAUGAUGGCAACUACAACCUUGAAGGUCCAUAUCUAAUCAAAAGACUUUAUUUCCGUUUAUAAGGAAGAUGCUAUCGAAAAGUGGGCUGGUAGUUCUUGGGCGUGUAUAUCAAAUGAUAUUCAAUUAAAGUAGAUUAAGAUUUUGAUGAGUGAGAUAUGCUGCGACCUUAUGUAUUGAAGGGAAAGCUCUCUAUCCAACAUUUACUGAGACUUAAUCUCAAAAUCCUUCGCUCAGUGAAAAAACUGAAAACUUUCAAAAAAACUUCAAUUGUCAUGUUAAAAGAGAUUCAAAGAUACGUGAAAUUUAUUGAAUUUACCUCUUAUUGAAUUUAUGAUAGAUCAUUUCAGCGAAAGAAGCUAUAGGCUUACGCAGUGUACAGAAAAAUUCUCAAGCUACUGUACAAAUUCAGAUGCAUCCUAACUUGCUCAUAAGUUUAGUUAUUGUUAUUAUGAUUUUUAUUCUCUGGCAGGCAGGCAGUCAUACAUGAUAAAUCUCUCUGUGACUGAAUAUGUUCGUUAGGGGUUAAGCUCCCAGCAUAAAUUUCCUUUAUGUAUUAUGUGGUUUGUGCUGUUAAUGAUGCAAUGUUCACGAGCAAUUGAAAAGCGGUUGUCGAGUUUGCGAGAUUUUUUUGCAUUUUACUUGAGAUUUGCUUCUUAUCGAUGCAUUGAAGCCUUUUUGUAAAGUCGUUAUUAUUGUUGUUUAAAACAUCAAUAAUUCAAAUGCUUUUGAUGGAAAAAGCAGUUUUGCUUUUCUAGUGUUAACACUAUAACAGUUAAGAUGCUAAGAUGGCAUGUCUUUAGAGGUCUUGUGAAGGGUCAAGAAGCCUGUUAUUGUUUUGGGUUGAAUAAAUUCCUUUAGUUAAAACCAUUAGCGAUCUCUCACAGCGAUGUUGAAUAUAGAUCUGCAUAGAUGCAAGUGUUUGAUUUCCUGUCAUUCCAAAUCGCCAAUGACACUAUCUUCUCUUAAGGCGAACCAUUUUAUUACUUGAUUGCUAGCUAAAACGAUUAAAGGUCUCAUGCUUAGUUAUAAGGCCGUUUGAAAGCGAGCGUUUAUCUAUCCUCAACCAAGGUCCGCCCUCUCGAUUCAGCCACUGGUGUAAGUGGAUUAGCUCUGUCAAUCGUACCCUGCAGCUUACCUUGACCAUCCUUAGAGGGCAGUUGUUGUAACUAGAAUAAUUUCUAUGACACUAAGAGAGGCUGAUCAACAAGCAAGCCUCUUCGCAUAUCUGUUGUUUGUCAUUGAUAUAUCUGCCUCUCUCUCACGCAGCAGGAAGUAGCAUAUCAGUUUUCAGGUUUAGAUAUUCCAACCAGGCCAAUACGAAAAGAUCCACUGGGUUUCUUAUGACUGCCUACAGCAUGCAGAGUUGCCCUUUUCAAUUCGCAGACAUUAUUGUUCAAAGGUUUAAAAAUGCGUUUCCAAAUUAAUCUUCUAGGGCAGAUACAAAUGACGACAAUGAAAAGCACAGCACUUUUCUUGUUUCUUGCAUCCUCGAUAAAAUAGAUAGCGUAAACUAACCAGCAGUAGGUAAAAACGAAUAUGUAAACAUAAAACCUUUGAAAACUUAAGCUUGUUUAGAAUUUCUUUUCAUAAAUCAGAUGUAAUUGAGUAAGCCUAUCCAAAUUAGCAUGCGAAAGCUUGGAAAUGAAAAAAGUCGAUGUGUGAGGCACUUGACACCUUCCAUUUGUCGAUAUGUGAGGUACUUGACACCUCGAAGCAAAUCUUCAUCAUAAGCGUGCCUUCCUUGUUCUUUUUAUCAUGUGACCGUAUUAGCAUUGAAUUUGUAGAGCAAUGCAUUUGCGUCUCCGAAGAGAGAGGGAGAACAUUGGAAGAACAUUUGGGAACAACAGGGCAUGCGUGGUGAAUUUUCAAAUUCACAUAUCUGUGUUGCCCUUUUGCGGAGAUUGUUGUCAAACAUCAGCUCUCUUUAGCUCAGAAGGAGUGUAACAUUAAACUAAAAGCUGUGCUUUGCUAUUAUGUUCUAACAUACACUGCUCUAUUUUAUUUAUAAGAAAACUGCUUUAUAGAAAACUAGUACAAGGAUGGCCAAAAAUUCCAAAAACUUUUGUUCUAGGCUCAAGUAAAGGAAGAAACUGUCAAAAUUCUACUUUAUGAAAAAGAGUCCAUAAGUUGUAUUCUUUUGAUUUCUUCUUUGGAAAAGAUAGCAUACUUUGAAAUUUGAUCGUGACGAUCUCCUUUUAUGUUUCUCUAAAAGAGCUCAAUAUCAAAACAAUAAGGUAAUUUUAGGUCCCGAAAAUAAGAAACCAACUAAGAAACUUUUAGCAAUUUUUUGCUGAUCCAAGUUGAUACGAUAAAAACACUGACAUUUAUGAGAGAGAGCUGCCACGUCAUCAACAAAGCACGUGUCAAGAUAUCUCGAUCUUGAUGUUUAUGUUUGUUAAUUUCUGUCGAUUUCUUUUCUCAUUAAGUUAAGAAGCAGAUCUGAUCCAGUCCUGCGAAGUUCCAGCCAAAGUAUGUGCAAUAAUUAGUUACAUAAUUACCUAGGCACUGAAGAACCUAACAGCUCAAUGAUCUAUAUACCAUGCAAAUUUGUUGUUGUUGGCUAACUGCUCAAUAUAACUCAAUCACAACUGCUGCAGCAAGAAGGUAGACAAAGUAUUAAAAGCACUAACAGUUACUAUAGAAAUCUUUACAACGAAGUAACACCGCAACAGCCCUAAACAAGGCAGAGUUCGCUGAGAUGGGACUCUGAUAUACUCUUUUACUUGCAACCAAACCUAACUAGUGAUAUCCUUAUUGCCCGAGAUACUUUUUCGCGUGUCGUUUGUACUUGGUGCGCCAGGUUCACAUCAAGCCUUAACCUCCAAAGUGGUGGGAAUUUUCUUGGGACAAUGUUGUUUUCAAGAAAUUCCUCUUCAAUAGCAUUAGGGGCAGCCAAAAGACUUUUUUCGGAGGGGCACAGAAGUUAUUUUUGCCGGCAUGAAAGGGUGUGUCUCACUCUUUAAGGGUGUGGUCAUAAGAUAAAUAAUCUUAUAUGCUGCUUUCAUGCGUUUCUAUUUUGAGAUUCAAACUUUAGUGCCCUACUUUGAAUGUUCAACUGCUACAGAAAUGUUAAUACGUUACAAUUGCUGCAGAAUAGUUAGAAUUCUACAGUAAGUUGAGAAACAAAUUUUCUUUCCUUGCCCGGCAAAAAUCUGCUAAUCUGACGGGUAAAAUGUUAGGGAGUACAGUGCCCACCCAUACCCCCUCUUUUUCAGACGUUCCUGCCUUUAGUACACGGUUUGGUACUAUCUCUUGUAGUCCGGUGUGAUCCAUCGUCCACAGAAUAGUAGUUUCUGUAAUAUUUGUGAAAAUGGUACCUUCUGGUUUCAGUGGCUCUAAAUGCUUUCUCUUUAUAAUCUAUACCUCAGAAAGCAAGUUUUGAGCCAAUAGGUUCAAG
This is a long non-coding RNA of Rhopilema esculentum, 6311 nucleotides long. RefSeq lists it as uncharacterized. The record is from RefSeq and is a predicted model, not a curated record. Lineage: Eukaryota; Metazoa; Cnidaria; Scyphozoa; Rhizostomeae; Rhizostomatidae.